Molecule: ribosomal RNA, 250 nt
Filed under: uncultured bacterium
Lineage: Bacteria
Description: partial 16S ribosomal RNA
Rfam family: Bacterial small subunit ribosomal RNA
Source: RNAcentral
AUGUCGACCAGCCGUUGGGUGCCUAGCGCACUUUGUGGCGAAGUUAACGCGAUAAGUCGACCGCCUGGGGAGUACGGCCGCAAGGUUAAAACUCAAAUGAAUUGACGGGGGCCCGCACAAGCGGUGGAGCAUGUGGUUUAAUUCGAUGCAACGCGAAGAACCUUACCUACUCUUGACAUCCUGCGAAUUUGGUAGAGAUACCUUAGUGCCUUCGGGAACGCAGAGACAGGUGCUGCAUGGCUGUCGUCAG